This 465-nucleotide ribosomal RNA is filed under the name Vreelandella stevensii. RNAcentral's name for it is "partial 16S ribosomal RNA". It matches the Rfam family "Bacterial small subunit ribosomal RNA", at positions 338 to 795 of the family's 1533-position model. Lineage: Bacteria; Pseudomonadati; Pseudomonadota; Gammaproteobacteria; Oceanospirillales; Halomonadaceae. The record is from RNAcentral.
CCUACGGGAGGCAGCAGUGGGGAAUAUUGGACAAUGGGGGCAACCCUGAUCCAGCCAUGCCGCGUGUGUGAAGAAGGCCCUCGGGUUGUAAAGCACUUUCAGUGAGGAAGAACGCCUGGUGGUUAAUACCCAUCAGGAAAGACAUCACUCACAGAAGAAGCACCGGCUAACUCCGUGCCAGCAGCCGCGGUAAUACGGAGGGUGCGAGCGUUAAUCGGAAUUACUGGGCGUAAAGCGCGCGUAGGUGGCUUGAUAAGCCGGUUGUGAAAGCCCCGGGCUCAACCUGGGAACGGCAUCCGGAACUGUCAAGCUAGAGUGCAGGAGAGGAAGGUAGAAUUCCCGGUGUAGCGGUGAAAUGCGUAGAGAUCGGGAGGAAUACCAGUGGCGAAGACGGCCUUCUGGACUGACACUGACACUGAGGUGCGAAAGCGUGGGUAGCAAACAGGAUUAGAUACCCCUGUAGUC